RNAcentral lists this ribosomal RNA (458 nucleotides) under uncultured bacterium. Its description in RNAcentral is "SSU rRNA". It matches the Rfam family "Bacterial small subunit ribosomal RNA", at positions 26 to 518 of the family's 1533-position model. The record is from RNAcentral.
AGAAUCAACGCUGGCGGCGUGCCUAACACAUGCAAGUCGAACGAGAAAGUGGAGCAAUCCAUGAGUAAAGUGGCGCACGGGUGAGUAACACGUGACUAACCUACCCUUGAGUGGGGGAUAACCUAGGGAAACCUGGGCUAAUACCGCAUAAUACCUUCGGGUCAAAGGAGCAAUUCGCUUAAGGAGGGGGUCGCGGCCGAUUAGUUAGUUGGCGGGGUAAUGGCCCACCAAGACUGUGAUCGGUAUCCGGCCUGAGAGGGCGCACGGACACACUGGAACUGAAACACAGUCCAGACUCCUACGGGAGGCAGCAGUGGGAAUUUGCGCAAUGGGGGAAACCCUGACGCAGCAACGCCGCGUGGAGGAUGAAGUCCCUUGGGACGUAAACUCCUUUCGAUCGGGACGAUUAUGACGGUACCGGAAGAAGAAGCCCCGGCUAACUUCGUGCCAGCAGCCGC